GACGAACGCUGGCGGCGUGCUUAACACAUGCAAGUCGUACGGUAAGGCCCUUUCGGGGGUACACGAGUGGCGAACGGGUGAGUAACACGUGAGUAACCUGCCCACAACUUUGGGAUAACGCUAGGAAACUGGUGCUAAUACUGGAUAUGUGCCCCUGCUGCAUGGUGGGGGUUGGAAAGCUCCGGCGGUUGUGGAUGGACUCGCGGCCUAUCAGCUUGUUGGUGGGGUAGUGGCCUACCAAGGCGGCGACGGGUAGCCGGCCUGAGAGGGUGACCGGCCACAUUGGGACUGAGAUACGGCCCAGACUCCUACGGGAGGCAGCAGUGGGGAAUAUUGCACAAUGGGCGCAAGCCUGAUGCAGCAACGCCGCGUGCAGGAUGACGGCCUUCGGGUUGUAAACCGCUUUCAGCAGGGACGAAGCUUUUUGUGACGGUACCUGCAGAAGAAGCACCGGCUAACUACGUG
RNAcentral lists this ribosomal RNA (465 nucleotides) under uncultured bacterium. RNAcentral's name for it is "partial 16S ribosomal RNA". It matches the Rfam family "Bacterial small subunit ribosomal RNA", at positions 28 to 507 of the family's 1533-position model. The record is from RNAcentral.